RNAcentral lists this ribosomal RNA (263 nucleotides) under uncultured bacterium. RNAcentral's name for it is "partial 16S ribosomal RNA". It matches the Rfam family "Bacterial small subunit ribosomal RNA", at positions 793 to 1055 of the family's 1533-position model. The record is from RNAcentral.
GUCCACGCCCUAAACGAUGUCUACUAGUUGUCGGGUCUUAAUUGACUUGGUAACGCAGCUAACGCGUGAAGUAGACCGCCUGGGGAGUACGGUCGCAAGAUUAAAACUCAAAGGAAUUGACGGGGACCCGCACAAGCGGUGGAUGAUGUGGAUUAAUUCGAUGCAACGCUAAAACCUUACCUACCCUUGACAUGUCAGGAAUCUCGGAGAGAUCUGAGAGUGCCCGAAAGGGAGCCUGAACACAGGUGCUGCAUGGCUGUCGU